UGAAGCUACAAUUCAUCCUCAUUACGCGGUCAAAGUCUUGGGAGGAUGCGGUCCAGGCGCGGUUAUUCGCAGCCGCCGGCGAUGAUACGGCUAAGGAUCGGACGCGUUGAGUUAGCAAGGCCUCUGGCCUUGCAUUUUUU
This 140-nucleotide small RNA is filed under the name uncultured Nitratireductor sp. RNAcentral describes it as "Alphaproteobacterial sRNA ar9". It matches the Rfam family "Alphaproteobacterial sRNA ar9". Lineage: Bacteria; Pseudomonadati; Pseudomonadota; Alphaproteobacteria; Hyphomicrobiales; Phyllobacteriaceae. The record is from RNAcentral.